RNAcentral lists this ribosomal RNA (497 nucleotides) under uncultured bacterium. RNAcentral describes it as "partial 16S ribosomal RNA". It matches the Rfam family "Bacterial small subunit ribosomal RNA", at positions 28 to 507 of the family's 1533-position model. The record is from RNAcentral.
GAUGAACGCUGGCGGCGUGCCUAAUACAUGCAAGUCGAGCGAACGGACGAGAAGCUUGCUUCUCUGAUGUUAGCGGCGGACGGGUGAGUAACACGUGGAUAACCUACCUAUAAGACUGGGAUAACUUCGGGAAACCGGAGCUAAUACCGGAUAAUAUUUUGAACCGCAUGGUUCAAAAGUGAAAGACGGUCUUGCUGCCACUUAUAGAUGGAUCCGCGCUGCAUUAGCUAGUUGGUAAGGUAACGGCUUACCAAGGCAACGAUGCAUAGCCGACCUGAGAGGGUGAUCGGCCACACUGGAACUGAGACACGGUCCAGACUCCUACGGGAGGCAGCAGUAGGGAAUCUUCCGCAAUGGGCGAAAGCCUGACGGAGCAACGCCGCGUGAGUGAUGAAGGUCUUCGGGUCGUAAAACUCUGUUAUUAGGGAAGAACAUAUGUGUAAGUAACUGUGCACAUCUUGACGGUACCUAAUCAGAAAGCCACGGCUAACUACGUG